Non-coding RNA from Thamnophis elegans (Western terrestrial garter snake), 768 nucleotides. NCBI's taxonomy places the organism in Eukaryota, Metazoa, Chordata, Lepidosauria, Squamata, Natricidae. The record is from the annotation of a RefSeq genome assembly.
AUGUUGGGGCCAUGUUUUCCACCAAAAAGAGUGAGAUUUGGUGGUCCAAACUUCGAGGAGGGUCUUCUAACAUGGUAUGAAGAAGCAGAGAAUGAUCUGAUUGAAGUGGGAUCGGAUUGCGACAAAAGUUUUGUAAUGGACAACGAGAAACACACACACAGACACAAACACACCACCGAUUCUGACAUCAGCAAUGAUGAAGCUCCUGAUGAAAUAGUUGUCCAAGCAUCUCCCACCAACGCUAUUUCCGUAUUUCCAGAAUCCUCUCCUAUCAAUUUCAUCUAUUCAUUACAGGGAGCAAAAAUGUGGCUAAACCUUCUGUCCAUACUUGUACUCCUUAAAGGAAUCCAAUCUCAAAUACAGUUGGUGGAGUUUGGAGGAGAUGUGAGAAGAGCUGGAGAGUCCCUCCGUCUUUCCUGCCAAGCCUCUGGAUUCACCUUCAGAGAUUAUGGGAUGCACUGGGUGAGACAGGGUCCAGGGAAAGGACUGGAAUGGGUUGCACUCAUCUCUUAUGAUCCCACUAAAAAGUUCUACUCAGACAACGUGAAGGGGCGCUUCACCAUCUCCAGGGACAAUGCCAAAAGCCAGCUGUAUCUGCAAAUGAACAGCCUCAAAACUGAAGACACAGGAGUCUAUUACUGUGCAAAACCCACAAGCUUCAUGAAGGACUAUUUUGGUCUUGAUAUCACAGAGUUUGCUGUUAGAAAAAUGAAAAAGGCCAAGUUCAUCAGUCUGUUUAAAAGCCAGGGCAACCCUAGGCUGCAUUAA